Long non-coding RNA from Mesocricetus auratus (golden hamster), 688 nucleotides. RefSeq lists it as uncharacterized. The record is from RefSeq and is a predicted model, not a curated record. Lineage: Eukaryota; Metazoa; Chordata; Mammalia; Rodentia; Cricetidae. The transcript is spliced from 3 exons.
CUGGAAAGGACUGCUCGAGUCAGCUCCUCCAUGAAGGCCUGGGGCAGUCAAACACCAGCAAAGGAGCUGCCUAGCAUUUCAGCGGCAAAACCAGAGAGGCGUCCCUCCCAGUUCCAGGUACCCAGCCUUCCAACUUGAGUCUAGCCCAAAGCCUGCACUCUAAUACAUAUCAUACUUGAUAUUAAAGUGAGAAGAGGGGUAAUUUAUAGGAGCUGCCUGAGAACUGUUUUCUUCUCAGGGCCAGCCGAUGUGGAACCGACACCUCUGUUCAGGGCUCCUGGAACCCUCCCGCAGCAACGCUGUCGCGUGGCGGGACUGCGGCCGUGUGAGGCUUGCCUGUGCAGAGGGGAUGCGAGGACAGCUGUGCAGAGUGGAUGCGAGGACCGCAUCCCUGAAGGCGGAACUCCUGAGGCUUGCCUUUACAACCCCGCAGCACUGGCCCUCAGCGGCCUGCAACUUUCUCUGGAGGGAUGUCCUUGAUUUCUAGAGCCUUCACAGCCUCCCCUCAGGCGGCACUGACCAGGAGCUGAAGAGAGAGGGCUUGGAAGCUUUCUGGAAAGGUCUUGCUUCUAAAAACCGGAAACCAGGAGGGAGGAAAUCUGCCCUCUUGUUCUCUGCUGACUAAGCCGUGUUGUCUUGAACAAGUGACUUUAUCGUUUCAUCUUUAAAAUAAACCUUUUGAGCCAGA